AAUUAACAACACUGAAAACUGCAACACCGCGAAAACAAGGCUUCCUUCACACUACAUGCAAAACGCAACAUCGGAGGCCUUGCAGAAUGGAAGUGCAGAAGGACCCAUCUGAGGAACAAAGAUUAUGAUUACGCUUUGGAAACACCAGGGAAGAAAACAUGAAAAACAGAUUUGAGAGAAGCACAUAAAUGGAAAACAAAGGCUGGCAACUUUGAUACGCCAUAUGGAGUGACGGGGUGACAGAAGAAGAAGUAAAAUAGUCCAAACACUGAAAACUUGGUAGGCAAGGCCAACAAAUUUGUUUGCAGCAGUUUUUUCAGGGAUUCAGAUUGGAAGGAUGAUAAAUAUUUAUGAGGAAGUUUUUAAAUUGCCAUGGUGAAAGAACAUGGUCAGUGUGUUAAAGGAAUCGCUGUUUGGUGUCAGCACUGAACAUAAGAUACUCU
Long non-coding RNA from Gallus gallus (chicken), 443 nucleotides. The record is from Ensembl. Lineage: Eukaryota; Metazoa; Chordata; Aves; Galliformes; Phasianidae.